GCUGGCGGCGUGCCUAAUACAUGCAAGUUGGGCGCUGAAGGUUGGUACUUGUACCGACUGGAUGAGCAGCGAACGGGUGAGUAACGCGUGGGGAAUCUGCCUUUGAGCGGGGGACAACAUUUGGAAACGAAUGCUAAUACCGCAUAAAAACUUUAAACACAAGUUUUAAGUUUGAAAGAUGCAAUUGCAUCACUCAAAGAUGAUCCCGCGUUGUAUUAGCUAGUUGGUGAGGUAAAGGCUCACCAAGGCGAUGAUACAUAGCCGACCUGAGAGGGUGAUCGGCCACACUGGGACUGAGACACGGCCCAAACUCCUACGGGAGGCAGCAGUAGGGAAUCUUCGGCAAUGGACGAAAGUCUGACCGAGCAACGCCGCGUGAGUGAAGAAGGUUUUCGGAUCGUAAAACUCUGUUGGUAGAGAAGAACGUUGGUGAGAGUGGAAAGCUCAUCAAGUGACGGUAACUACCCAGAAAGGGACGGCUAACUACGUGCCAGCAGCCGCGGUAAUACGUAGGUCCCGAGCGUUGUCCGGAUUUAUUGGGCGUAAAGCGAGCGCAGGUGGUUUAUUAAGUCUGGUGUAAAAGGCAGUGGCUCAACCUUUGUAUGCAUUGGAAACUGGUAGACUUGAGUGCAGGAGAGGAGAGUGGAAUUCCAUGUGUAGCGGUGAAAUGCGUAGAUAUAUGGAGGAACACCGGUGGCGAAAGCGGCUCUCUGGCCUGUAACUGACACUGAGGCUCGAAAGCGUGGGGAGCAAACAGGAUUAGAUACCCUGGNAGUCCACGCCGUAAACGAUGAGUGCUAGAUGUAGGGAGCUAUAAGUUCUCUGUAUCGCANCUAACGCAAUAAGCACUCCGCCUGGGGAGUACGACCGCAAGGUUG
RNAcentral lists this ribosomal RNA (878 nucleotides) under uncultured bacterium. RNAcentral's name for it is "bacterial SSU rRNA". It matches the Rfam family "Bacterial small subunit ribosomal RNA", at positions 35 to 896 of the family's 1533-position model. The record is from RNAcentral.